UACAGAGGGGGCAAGCGUUGUUCGGAAUUACUGGGCGUAAAGGGCGCGUAGGCGGCCCUCUAAGUCAGACGUGAAAUCCCCCGGCUUAACCUGGGAACUGCGUCUGAUACUGGACGGCUUGAGUAUGGGAGAGGAACGUAGAAUUCCAGGUGUAGCGGUGAAAUGCGUAGAUAUCUGGAGGAAUACCGGUGGCGAAGGCGGCGUUCUGGACCAUUACUGACACUGAGGCACGAAAGCGUGGGGAGCAAACAGG
This 253-nucleotide ribosomal RNA is filed under the name uncultured bacterium. Its description in RNAcentral is "partial 16S ribosomal RNA". It matches the Rfam family "Bacterial small subunit ribosomal RNA", at positions 524 to 776 of the family's 1533-position model. The record is from RNAcentral.